AGCAAGUUCAUUUAUUUAUUAAACUAUUGUUGUUUAAAAAUAACAGCCAGCAGUCCCCGCAGAAAUAAACACUGCCAUGCUGGCCUCCCUCGGGAAUCUCCCCCCUAACGAGGGCUCCCACUCCCAAAUUCAUUACCUCCCACAUGCUCACUAGAGAGAGGAGCAUAACGUUACUGAUGCCGUGCAGCGUCCGAAGCGCUGCGAGGAAUGUCCGGGGCUUUGGCCGCCGAUCUGUUACAGGGAACGGCGUUACCGGCUCUGGGCAGUUGCUGCCGCAGAGCUCGCAGCUCCCCGCAGCCCCGGGCUGGCUCACCCCGCUGCCGGCGGCAGGUCCCAGGGAUGACCUGGGAAAGGGCAGACAACUGUCCCGCUGCAAAACCUGCCCGGCCCAAUGUGAAGAAGUGCUAUUGGCCCUCAGUAACGACACGAAGCGCUCACGUGGCAGGCCGAGACCGCAGCCCGAUGCUUUCCUGUGAAUCAUCAGCCGGCUCCGAGUGCGAGGAAUGCCUUCGCAUGGGCAGAGAGGCCUCUGGGUCAGACCAGACCCAUCCAUCUGGUCUGGCUACCUCUAACACCGGCCUCCAGCAGGUACUUCAAAGGGCUCAUUGCUCACUGCGGAGCAUCUCAAAUAACCUCCCUACAGGGAUCCUUUCUUCCAAGCUUCCAUCUGUUGGUGUCCUUAUUAAAUAUAUGCAUCACUGCUGCACGCUUUUACUGUCUGGCCUCGGUCAAAGAAAAUCUCUUACCCCCUUACACAACGCUUCCAAACUUCCCCAAAGGUACCUCUGGCUCAGCCAAAGCAAAGGUGUUGCCAGUUCCCACCACAGGUCAGCGGCAGAAGCAGCCGACGUGUCCGGACCCCGGGAUAACACCCCGGCCGCAGCACAAUGCUGCCCUCCGCAUCACCAGGGGACAAGGAGCCCUGCAAACCUCCCUGCUGCUGCGUAGAGGACACCGAGCAAGAAGGGACUAAGUGACACUUAUCACAGCUUAGCCAAAAACCAAGAGGCUGAAGCAAAAGCAGAAC
This 1027-nucleotide long non-coding RNA is filed under the name Aquila chrysaetos chrysaetos. RNAcentral describes it as "lncRNA (ENSACCG00020007569.1)". Lineage: Eukaryota; Metazoa; Chordata; Aves; Accipitriformes; Accipitridae. The record is from RNAcentral.